AGUUGCGAAGGCGGCUCUCUGGACUGUAACUGACGCUGAGGCACGAAAGCGUGGGGAGCAAACAGGAUUAGAUACCCUGGUAGUCCACGCUGUAAACGAUGAGUACUAGGUGUCGGGGGUUACCCCCUUCGGUGCCGCAGCUAACGCAUUAAGUACUCCGCCUGGGAAGUACGCUCGCAAGAGUGAAACGCAAAGGAAUUGACGGGGACCCGCACAAGUAGCGGAGCAUGUGGUUUAAUUCGAAGCAACGCGAAGAACCUUACCUAAGCUUGACAUCCCAAUGACAUCUCCUUAAUCGGAGAGUUCCCUUCGGGGACAUUGGUGACAGGUGGUGCAUGGUUGUCGUCAGCUCGUGUCGUGAGAUGUUGGGUUAAGUCCCGCAACGAGCGCAACCCUUGUCUUUAGUUGCCAUCAUUAAGUUGGGCAC
This 427-nucleotide ribosomal RNA is filed under the name Clostridioides difficile. Its description in RNAcentral is "bacterial SSU rRNA". It matches the Rfam family "Bacterial small subunit ribosomal RNA", at positions 711 to 1138 of the family's 1533-position model. The record is from RNAcentral. Lineage: Bacteria; Bacillati; Bacillota; Clostridia; Peptostreptococcales; Peptostreptococcaceae.